GAUGAACGCUGGCGGCGUGCUUAACACAUGCAAGUCGAACGAAGCACUUUAUUUGAUUUCCUUCGGGACUGAUUAUUUUGUGACUGAGUGGCGGACGGGUGAGUAACGCGUGGGUAACCUGCCUUGUACAGGGGGAUAACAGUUGGAAACGGCUGCUAAUACCGCAUAAGCGCACAGCAUCGCAUGAUGCAGUGUGAAAAACUCCGGUGGUAUAAGAUGGACGCGCGUUGGUUUAGCUAGUUGGUGAGGUAACGGCCCACCAAGGCGACGAUCCAUAGCCGAGAGGGGAGGGGGACCGGCCACAAUGGGACUGAGGCACGGACCAAAAUCCUACGCGAGGGAGCAGUGGAGAAUAUUGCACAAGGGGCGAAAGCGUGAUGCAGCGACGCGGGGGGAGCGAAGAAGUAUUUCGGUAUGUAAAGCUGUAUCAGCAGGGAAGAUAAUGACGGUACCUGACUAAGAAGCACCGGCUAAAUACGUG
This 481-nucleotide ribosomal RNA is filed under the name uncultured bacterium. RNAcentral describes it as "partial 16S ribosomal RNA". It matches the Rfam family "Bacterial small subunit ribosomal RNA", at positions 28 to 507 of the family's 1533-position model. The record is from RNAcentral.